This is a long non-coding RNA of Xenopus laevis (African clawed frog), 832 nucleotides long. RefSeq lists it as uncharacterized. NCBI's taxonomy places the organism in Eukaryota, Metazoa, Chordata, Amphibia, Anura, Pipidae. The record is from RefSeq and is a predicted model, not a curated record. The transcript is spliced from 4 exons.
CUAUAUUUAUGUCCAUAGACUGUAUGUGUUUUACUCUUUUAAAAAAAACACAUUUUUAAAAAAUGUUUUCUUGUGACUGGCAUAGAAUGAGCGAUACCUGGAGCUGACUGCUAAACUCCUUGAUUCCAGAGCACAAGCUGCUGCCACCAAGCAGGAUAAAGACAAACAGGGCCAGAAAGAGGCUCAGAGAAUAAGGGGAAAUCAGCAAGAAUUCCCUGUGUGGAGUCGCGGACAGGGGAAGCCACCAAACUGCUGAGCUGUACAAGAGGACAGUCUGUUAAAGAACAUCAGCCACAUUAUUGUGGAUGAAGUACAAAUUAAUAGCCCUCCAUUCAAUCCUUUCCAGCCAAGACCAGGCUGAAGCAUUCAUACUGCCACCUGCUGGGACAAGAAAGAUGACACAAUUUUGAAUAUCAUCAGAGAACUAAUGAAAACAGAAUGAUAAAGCCUCACGGGAUUCCUUAGGACUGCUGCUCAGUGGACAAGGGAAGAGCGCGGGGGAUUCUAUUUUAAAUAUUGUACUCUUUCAGCUGCACUCAAACAUUUCCUUUGCAUGCAAAGGGCAGCUUUUCAGUGUUGCAUGGUGUAUUAAAGAGAUUUGCUUGUUAUUUUUUUCAUGAAUCGAUUUAAAUGAUAUCGGAUUUGCAAUAAAAUCACAGUGCCAAACCUGUUUUGUCUUAUAAGGUGAUUUUCAAUCCUUGUCCAAAGUAUAAAUCAUUUAUAUCUCAUCCUGAUCAUUUAUAACUCAUCCUGAUUCUAUACGACAGCAAACAUACAGUCUGUUAUGCAGAAAUCUCUGAGUUACGGAGAGACUGUCUCCCAUAGACUCCAU